This is an RNA transcript of Columba livia (rock pigeon), 2345 nucleotides long. It is a transcript of the gene named elongator acetyltransferase complex subunit 6, with no coding region annotated. NCBI's taxonomy places the organism in Eukaryota, Metazoa, Chordata, Aves, Columbiformes, Columbidae. The record is from RefSeq and is a predicted model, not a curated record. The transcript has 7 exons.
GCAGGCGGCGCCCUGCGGCUCCGCUGCGCGCAUGCGCAGGGGCCGCACCGCCUCAUCCUCCUUCCCGUCCCCCGCCCGGAAGCCUCCGGUUCCCCCGCGCGCCAUGUUCCCGGAGCUGAACGAGCUGCUGGACGCCUCCCCGGAGCGGCCGCAGCCGGGUAAAUUCACGCUGCUGCGAGACACCAGAACAGACGGCAGCUUCCUGGUGCAUCAUUUCCUCUCCUUCUACCUCAGAGGUACGGCAGCAGCAGGACUCUCCCAGCUGGCUGUAAGGUUUGCUUUGUGGCCCUGCUCCAGUCCUUCAGUCACUACAACAUCGUGGCACAGAAACUGCUGUUUGCUCUGCAACAUCAUGUUCUCCUCUCUCCAGGGGGUCAGUCUGGCAGCUGCCAAAGAGCGAGGACAGCUUGUCUUCUUGGAAGGCCUCAGGUCCUGCCUUGACCUCUUGUUUGGAGAAGAGGAGGAGCAGCCAGCACAGCCCAGUCCUCUCCAGUUUAUAAGUGGGAGCGCUUCUGACCUCAGAGCCUUGUUUGACUUCGUCCGGACGUCCCUGACCCCCUCCGACAGCGACUCCUGGAAGGGGCCUGUGCUGCUGGUGGACGACCUGAGCGUCCUGCUGGGCCUGGGCGCUGCGCCGGUGGCCGUGCUGGACUUCAUCCACUACUGCAGAGUCACCGUGUGCUCCCGGCUGCAGGUGCUGCUCCCUCUGCACGCGUGUCCUGUGAGCUGCGGGGGAACAUCGUGGUGCUGGUUCACAGCAACGAGGAUUCGGAAGACGAGGAAAACGAACUGGUCGUUAACGCCCUGUGUCAUCACAGUGACCUGAUCCUGUGGGCAGAGGGACUGGCCACUGGCUUCUGCAAGGAUGUUCAUGGGCAGAUUAAAAUAAUCAAGAGACUGUCCUUGGAGCUGACAGGGGAGCAGGAUCAAGUCCAGAUCUACCAGUAUAAGAUCCAGGACAAGAACGUCACCUUUUUCGCUAGAGGGCUGUCAGCUGCCGUCCUGUGAUCUGCGACACUGUGCAGCACCCUGAGAGCGACACGGAGCAAGGCUGGGGCAGCUGGUACCUCUCGGCUGGACGUGCCACCAAACCUUCCUGGCUGUGUCACCGGCGCUUUCCAGGAGCGGUGCAGCAAAAACUGACCCAGGAGGGAAGUUAAAACGUGUGUUGAGCUGCUUAAUGACAGGAUCACCUUCCUCAGAGCCUGUUGCAUCCCUUUGUCCUUGCAUCCUUUUCCCAAGGUACACGGGCCAAGAGGGAAGAGCAAAAACACUUGCCAGAAUGGCCCCUGGAGCAUGUAAAAACAAGCAGGGGGGAUGCCCUGUGGGCUGGGCGUGCCUCACCUGUUCUGGUGCGUUAUGGCACAGCGGUGCCAGGUGCUGCCAGGCGCAGGGAUCACCCCACCCUCCUGCUGGCGUUUCCCAGAUGACACAGAGCGGGUGGAGGCAGCAGGGAUGGUCUGGGAGUGUUGUGCAAUUCUUACCUUUCUCCCAGCUCUGGCGCUGGAGAGAUUUGCUCAACUCAGCUCCCACAGAACUAAAAAAUCUAUAGCUGCACGUCUAGUCUCUCACCUUGCUGGGGUAAGGCCUAAGAGCUGCCCUGCUUGCUUGGUCCCUUGCUUUGUUUUAUUUUCCCUCUUUUCAUGUGAAACCCUGGUGUGUGUCUGUUUAGUGGGUGGCUUCCUAAGCUAGUCCUUGGCUUUGGGUGAUGGACAUUUGUACACGAGGGCGACAGACAGACACUUGUACAUGAGCCUCUGUCUCAGCCACUGCUUCCCAACCGCAAAUCAUUACUGGCACUUCUAUGACCCGCCUGUAUUGAAGCAUUCCUGGGGGCUAAUAAUCCCUUAUUUUAAUUAGAGAAGGGUACAGUCAUGGAGUAACUGUGGCUGGUGGCUUUUGCCUGUUUCUUUCUGUGCCACUCAUUGCACCGGUGAGGGCUUGGACAGGCAGCACCUGGGAGAUGCCUCCUGGAGAAAGGGCAGUGAAACCUGUGGUGGUUUCUGGUUCGCGGUGAAGACCAAGCCCAGUGUUCCCUCCAUGCCUGCCUGACAUGCAGCGAUGGCAUCUGCUACCAAGGUGAGAAUGUCAGAGGCCAGUCUGGCAGCUCUGCUGAGCCAAGGCCACCCAGCACGGCCAUGACUGAACUGAGACCUUGGUCUGGAGCUGGUGCUGCGGGAAGGCAGCGCAGAAAGGGGAGAUUAGGAGCAAAGCGAUGGGUGGCAGAACAGGGUGGCCUUGGCAGGGUCAGCCAACAGCUGCAUGCUCGGGGGCGCUGCUACGUGCAGCUCUUUGUGAGCCAGAGCUUGUGCAACAUCUUAACCAAUAAAGCAGGUGGGACUUGG